Molecule: ribosomal RNA, 443 nt
Filed under: uncultured bacterium
Lineage: Bacteria
Description: partial 16S ribosomal RNA
Rfam family: Bacterial small subunit ribosomal RNA
Source: RNAcentral
CCUACGGGAGGCAGCAGUGGGGAAUAUUGGGCAAUGGGCGCAAGCCUGACCCAGCAACGCCGCGUGAAGGAAGAAGGCUCUCGGGUUGUAAACUUCUUUUAUCAGGGACGAAGCAAGUGCCGGUACCUGUUUAUUAAGCCACGGUUAACUACGUGCCAGCAGCCGCGGUAAUAGGUAGGUGGCAAGCGUUAUCCGGAUUUCCGGGGUGUAAAGGGCGGGUAGGGGGGAAAGCAAGUCAGAUGUGAAAACCAUGGGCUCAACCUGUGACCUGCAUUUGAAACUGUUUUUCUUGAGUACUGGAGAGGUAGACGGAAUUCCUAGUGUAGCGGUGAAAUGCGUAGAUAUUAGGAGGAACACCAGUGGCGAAGGCGGUCUGCUGGACAGCAACUGACGCUGAGGCGCGAAAGCGUGGGGAGCAAACAGGAUUAGAUACCCCUGUAGUC